UCCUUGACCUCUUCUCCCCCCCACCACUCCUCUCCGUAUGGAUUCUCUCCGACUCCCGCGACGACAAGGUCGACUCCUUCACCCACGACAUGUCUUUCUGGCCCCUCGACCGCCGCCAAUCCCUCGCCGACCAGGUCCUCAAGAACGACUACAAGAACCGCUUCCACUGCAACCGCAAGUUCACCUCCCACCCCAAACUCAGCCUCCACAAGGCCCACUGCGACCCCGGUCCUUGAUUAAAACAUGCGGUCGUGGUUUUAUCUCCCUCCCUCUGAAGUGAAACAUUAUCGACAACAAGAAUUGACAAGAAGCCAUGUCUAAUGCACGAAAGGAAGCCAAUGAUAGGAUCUCUUUCUAUCCUUGGAUACAUUGAAGAAACAUGCAAAGGGUUCCCUCUACUAACAUAAGGAUCCAUAUAAAGACAGCCCAUGUGCGAUUGUUUUCGAAAGUCAUUCACAGGAUGGUGUGUAUAGACUUAUAACUAUAACUUAUUUUAGUUUCUUCCUAAUUCUUUGGUAUUUAGUUUCAUAUUUUAUGUUAUUAAUUUAUUUGAAAUUGCACUGGUAUAACUUCAUUUUUUUUUGCAAACCAAUGAUUACUGCUUCUGCAAUGAAGUGAAAAUGUUUUACAUUUUCGCUCUUUACUCUAAAUUGUUUUUGUAAACCCACUAAUUUUGAAGCUCCUCUUGUUAAACUAAAGCAGCUUAAAUCCCCCAUGUUUUUUCGCGUCCACUCUCCAUAGGCUAAAAUCAUGCUAUCACAAGCAAAAUUGUUAAUUGUGGUGAAGGAACUUGCAAUAGAAGGUAGACAAGCCCCCACUCUUCCUUGAGUAUUAAUGUUAUCCUAGAUGGACUCGGCUCAAGGUCAAGACCAGUGGAUCCUCAAUCCAUGUCAUAUUUAAAUUGAAUACAAUCCGGAAAUAAUAACUGGGUUGCAAAGAUGUUGUAGAGGAGUUGGAUUUUCUUCGAUUUGAUCGUAUCAAUGAUGAUAACAAGACAAGAGAGUUGGUGGAUGCUUGAGACCAAAUGGGUUCGGCAACUUGGAGAUCUGAGAAGAGGUCAAUACCAUUCCUCUACUCUCAUCUAAAUCCAAUCCAUCAACCAUGCAUAUGCCCCUUCCCUCGAUAGGGGAAGAUGAAAUGGGAACAAUGAUUGAUUUGUAAGGAAAGGUGUCAGAGUAGGUGAGGGAUAGGAAAGGAGGGUAUGGGAUUGAAAUCCAUUUGAGAGAGAAUGCAGGCCAUAAAAGGGGAAGAGAGCAAGUCAUUGAGCACAAGUUCCUUCUCUUGAGCAGCAACAAGACCAAGAACCAUCAGGGAAUUAUUUACUAUUAUAGAGAAGGUAUAAGAUAUUUUAUAGACUUUUUGAAAAUUGGAUUCGGUUCUAAUGUUAACAUGCAAAAGCUAUGAUCACAUUUUAAAAUUUUCUCAGCGCGCUACAAUUUGACUCCGACCGAAAUCAUAUAAAGAUUGUUUCUUGCUUUCUUUCA
Long non-coding RNA from Asparagus officinalis (garden asparagus), 1484 nucleotides. RefSeq lists it as uncharacterized. The transcript is spliced from 7 exons. The record is from RefSeq and is a predicted model, not a curated record. Lineage: Eukaryota; Viridiplantae; Streptophyta; Magnoliopsida; Asparagales; Asparagaceae.